AUGGGAUUUAACCCUUCACUGCCCACAGCACCAGAAAAAAGGGGAACAGUGGAAGUCAGGGAGCUGGGAAUCGAUAUUUACUCUUACACAGUAAGAAAGAAUAAGGAUACUUGACUGAUACAAUCCUCACAAUCUUUGGAACAUGUGCAGAAAUUCCACAGCAAGCUUUCUGAUCAAGAGUAGAGCUGGAACCAGCAGAUUGGCCAGUAUGACCAAAGGAAAAUAAUACAUGUUGAAGAGGAUGUGGCAAAAUUGGGACACUAAUACAGUGCUGGUGGAGCUGUGAAUUGAUCCAACUAUUCUGGAAAGCAAUUUGGAACGAUGCCCAAAGGGCUUUAAAAGAAUGCAUACCUUUUGAUCCAGCAACCCCACUACUAAAUUUGUACCCAAAAGAGAUAAUAAUGAAAAAUAUUUGUACAAAAAUAUUCAUAGCUGUGCUCUUUGGGGUGGCAAAAAAUGGAAAAUGAGGGGGUGUCCCUCAAUUGGAGAAUGGCUGAACAAAUUGUGGUAUAUAAUGGUGAUUGAAUACUAUUGUGCUGUAAGGAAUGUUGAACUGGAGGAUUUCUAUGUGAUCUGGAAGAACCUCCAGGAACUGCUGGAGAGUGAAAUGAGCAGAACCAAGAGAACAUUAUACACUGAGAGUGAAACACUGUGGAAAAAUCCAAAGUAAUAGACGUUGCUACUACAAGACAAUCCCAGGAGACUUAUGAGAAAGAAUGCUAUCUACAUAGAGAGAAAGAACUGUGGGUAGAACCACAGAAGAAAAACAAAUGACUUAUUUAUGUAUAUGGUUAUAUGAUUGGGGGUUUUAGUUUUAAAAGAUUGCUCUAUUGCAAAAA
Molecule: non-coding RNA, 839 nt
Organism: Monodelphis domestica (gray short-tailed opossum)
Lineage: Eukaryota; Metazoa; Chordata; Mammalia; Didelphimorphia; Didelphidae
Source: RefSeq, a predicted model, not a curated record